CCCUCCCAUAGUUCAGUGGCAGAACAUCUGCUUGGCAUGCAGAAGGUCCCAGGUUCAAUCCCUGGCAUCUGCGGGGGGGG
Podarcis raffonei (Aeolian wall lizard) is the source of this 80-nucleotide non-coding RNA. The record is from the annotation of a RefSeq genome assembly. Lineage: Eukaryota; Metazoa; Chordata; Lepidosauria; Squamata; Lacertidae.